Molecule: ribosomal RNA, 468 nt
Filed under: uncultured bacterium
Lineage: Bacteria
Description: partial 16S ribosomal RNA
Rfam family: Bacterial small subunit ribosomal RNA
Source: RNAcentral
GACGAACGCUGGCGGCGUGCUUAACACAUGCAAGUCGAACGGAAAGGCCCUGCUUUUGUGGGGUGCUCGAGUGGCGAACGGGUGAGUAACACGUGAGUAACCUGCCCUUGACUUUGGGAUAACUUCAGGAAACUGGGGCUAAUACCGGAUAGGAGCUCCUGCUGCAUGGUGGGGGUUGGAAAGUUUCGGCGGUUGGGGAUGGACUCGCGGCUUAUCAGCUUGUUGGUGGGGUAGUGGCUUACCAAGGCUUUGACGGGUAGCCGGCCUGAGAGGGUGGCCGGCCACAUUGGGACUGAGAUACGGCCCAGACUCGUACGGGAGGCAGCAGUGGGGAAUAUUGCACAGUGGGCGGAAGCCUGAUGCAGCAACGCCGCGUGCGGGAUGACGGCCUUCGGGUUGUAAACCGCUUUCGCCUGUGACGAAGCGUGAGUGACGGUAAUGGGUAAAGAAGCACCGGCUAACUACGUG